Molecule: antisense RNA, 178 nt
Filed under: Xenococcus sp. PCC 7305
Lineage: Bacteria; Bacillati; Cyanobacteriota; Cyanophyceae; Pleurocapsales; Xenococcaceae
Description: Antisense RNA which regulates isiA expression
Rfam family: Antisense RNA which regulates isiA expression
Source: Rfam by way of RNAcentral
GAUAGCCGUAGAUCGUCAAAGGACUUAGUGUCGGAUCAGUAACUACGCGCAGAUCACCAAUCACAGAAUCGUAUAAUCCGCCGAAGAACAUCGCUUUGGCAACCAACAGCAAUGCUCCCGCACCUAGGAAAAUUAGAUGAUGACCCAAGAUAAAGCCUAGUUUUUUGGGGUCGUUCCA